AGGUUAAACAUUAUUUUUUAUUUUGACAGUGCUUCCUAUGUAACUUAAAAUGUCAAAUAGUCCUGUUAUAUGGAAAGACACAAAAAGCACAAUACAGCUUACGAUUAGCCUCAUGAAUCAUUUUUUCAAUUAACCCCCAGAAUCACAGAAGAUUCAGAGACUCUUGGGUUGCCUUGUGGUCAGAAUAAAUUUAUAGAUCCUAAGACUAAAUCAUCAAAGGCUUCAGUUAACUUUGCAGCUGCUGUGACUACACACAAACAAAAAGGGUAGGCUUUUGCUACAGGGUCAAGUGAGAGGCCAAAAUAAGCUA
RNAcentral lists this long non-coding RNA (310 nucleotides) under Pan troglodytes (chimpanzee). RNAcentral describes it as "long non-coding RNA NONPTRT000623". The record is from RNAcentral. Lineage: Eukaryota; Metazoa; Chordata; Mammalia; Primates; Hominidae.